RNAcentral lists this long non-coding RNA (323 nucleotides) under Gallus gallus (chicken). RNAcentral describes it as "long non-coding RNA NONGGAT008318". Lineage: Eukaryota; Metazoa; Chordata; Aves; Galliformes; Phasianidae. The record is from RNAcentral.
GGAAAGAACAAAAAACGGAACAGUCCCCGUUCAUGGAUGAGGAAAUCAAUACAUUUGCUUCAGCCAUAAUGGCUCUGUUUUGGUCAGCAGCUUGCUCCUUGCUGCCCGGACUCCACAACUACCAAAUCCAACACAGAAGUCUAGGAAAAAUCAUCCUUUCUGUCCAAGUAGAAACCUGGCUCUGUGGCUGCAUCCUAUUCUAAGUCUCCUGCUUGCUGAGUUCUGCAAACUAACAGACUCUGCUCGCCGAGUGUGCUCAGUUGCUUUGUGCUGUCUUCCCUUCUUCCAGAACUGCAGUAGCUAAGGCAGGACUAACAGGUACU